Molecule: long non-coding RNA, 992 nt
Filed under: Setaria viridis
Lineage: Eukaryota; Viridiplantae; Streptophyta; Magnoliopsida; Poales; Poaceae
Description: long non-coding RNA (SVIR_LNC009222)
Source: RNAcentral
CUGAAGCAAUGCAAAAGCAGCAGUGCCGAAGAAACUCGAAUCACCAAAAACACGAUACAAUAGCGCAGCUAAUAACAGAACAACCGUCAACAAGGCAUGUACAAUAACAACAAGGUCGCUGGUUCCAACGUAGUGUUUGCCGUGUAUCCACAUGAGGAACCAAUCAUACAACAUACUGCACGUUGGCCACCGAACAGACAGCUUGGAACUGCUACUCACCAACGACACAUUGAAGUAGAACAAGCACCCAAGAAAUCGAUAUGCUCACUCUGGUGAACCACAGGUGCCGCGUAUUCGCACCUGUGGUGCAGCAGCAAAAAGGGCAACCACCAAAGAAAUUAUCAUCACCAGGAAAGACACGAAACAACCUAAAUCCGGCAACCACGCCCGAAGAGAAAAAUCGUGGAAAAAAUCUAGCUGCCUUAUCUCCAACUGUGCAUUCCUCCUCUGUGUCAUAAAAAAACACCAGCACAAUGCCGAACACACCAAAAUAGAGAAUCCACACAUGCACAAUGCUGCAAGUACUUAAGUAUAUAUAUUACAGAUCCACAAGUUAAACCAGCCAACGGCAUCAACCAUAAAGGCAAAACAAUAACAACAACAACAACAAAUACAACAAGUACAACCACACAACCCACAAAGCACCCUAGACCAUCACCACUCUGCUUUCUUCACAAAGAAACACUCUUCAACAUCACUUGAACAUCAAGAACACCAGGCUAACCCAACUAUUGCCUAUAGGAAACUGUGGCAAUAUCAUCACAAAUGAUUCGACCUUCGCCUGCUGGAAAUCGAAUCAAUAUCACUACAAUCAGAUAACGCAACGAAAAAUAAGUACAUGGACCACAGAAAAAAAAGAGUGGAAUCAAAGAGCAACCUCUUCGUCGCUACCAAUUUAGCUCCCUUAGCAUCCCUAGCCUUCUCAUGCUCGUCAGCACCAUCAACCUUAUUGCUAUCAUGGCCAUCGCCGCCCCAUUCCCCACUCUAAAAAU